GCCUCAUACAUGCAAGUAGAGCGAUACAGCUGCAGACGGGUGAGUAACACGUGGGAAUCUACCCCUAUCUCAGGGAUAGCCCGCCGAAAGGCGGAUUAAUACCUGAUAGUUCCGUAAGGAUAAAGCUCCGGCGGAUAGGGAUGUGCCUGCGCACCAUCAGCUUGUUGGUAAGGUAAUGGCUUACCAAGGCUAUGACGGUUAGCUGAUCUAAGAGGAUGAUCAGCCACAAUGGGACUGAGACACGGCCCAUACUCCUACGGGAGGCAGCAGUAGGGAAUAUUGCGCAAUGGGCGAAAUGCCUGACGCAGCAAUGCCGCAUGCAGGAUGACGGUUUUCGGAUUGUAAACUGCAAUAGAUAGGGAAAAAAUCUUGAUGGUACCUAUCGAUAGCACCGGCUAACUACGUGCCAGCAGCCGCGGUAAUACGUAGGGUGCAAGCGUUAUUCGGAUUUACUGGGCGUAAAGCGUGCGUAGGUGGUAAUUUAAGUCAUGCAAUAAAUUUUAAGGCUCAACCUUGAAAAUUUGUGUGAAACUGGAUUACUCGAGGAUGUCAGAGACAAGCGGAACACCUGGUGUAGGGGUAAAAUCCGUUGAUAUCAGGUGGAACACCAAUGGCGAAAGCAGCUUGUUGGGGCAUUCCUGACACUAAGGCACGAAAGCGUGGGUAGCAAACGGGAUUAGAUACCCCGGUAGUCCACGCCGUAAACUAUGCUGACUAGAUAUUGGAAGUUUCGACCCUUUCAGUAUCGUAGCUAACGCGUUAAGUCAGCCGCCUGGGGAGUACGGUCGCAAGACUAAAACUCAAAGGAAUUGACG
RNAcentral lists this ribosomal RNA (815 nucleotides) under uncultured bacterium. RNAcentral's name for it is "bacterial SSU rRNA". It matches the Rfam family "Bacterial small subunit ribosomal RNA", at positions 46 to 915 of the family's 1533-position model. The record is from RNAcentral.